UCCCAUCAGCUAGUUGGUAGGGAAAUGGCCUACCAAGGCGAUGACGGGUAGGGGACCUGAGAGGGUGGCCCCCCACAAUGGAACUGAAACACGGUCCAUACACCUACGGGUGGCAGCAGUAGGGAAUAUUGGUUAAUCUGGGAAACCGGGAACCAGCAACGCCGCGUGCGCGAUGAAGGCCUUCGGGUUGUAAAGCGCUUUUAGAGAGGAUGAGGAAGGACAGUACUCUCUGAAUAAGCCUCGGCUAACUACGUG
RNAcentral lists this ribosomal RNA (255 nucleotides) under bacterium enrichment culture clone 18. RNAcentral's name for it is "partial 16S ribosomal RNA". It matches the Rfam family "Bacterial small subunit ribosomal RNA", at positions 236 to 507 of the family's 1533-position model. The record is from RNAcentral.